Molecule: unclassified non-coding RNA, 1316 nt
Filed under: Daphnia magna
Lineage: Eukaryota; Metazoa; Arthropoda; Branchiopoda; Diplostraca; Daphniidae
Description: uncharacterized LOC123475811, transcript variant X1
Source: RNAcentral
ACCCCGUCUACCCUCCCUCUUAAAGAAAAACAAACAAAAAACCCUUUACCCCGCCAAUAGGUGGCUUUAAAAAAUUAAAUCGGUGUUCGGAUUUUUGUGCAGGAUACUGUACCUGUCUCCGAAACUGAGUCCAUGUUGUAUGACACAAAUCUAGCUAGGAAGUCCAGUCGUUCAAGACAAGCAACCCAUCACAAGCAGCGUAGGCUUACGAGUAACAAAUACAUCAGUUUUCUGCACGGGUGAAUAUGUCACAACUGACUCCGAUAACGAUUACACUCAAAUGUGUUCUGAGGAAAACCACAGAGGGGAAGAAGCACAAUCUCACCAACAACAAACAAAAAAAAAAGCAGAGUGCAUUUUAAUUGAUGUGUCGAAAUAUCGUUGCCCUUGAGAUAUGUGGCUACAUUACUACCAACAAACUGGAAGAAAAAAUUCAUUUUCAUGCUAACGAAUAUUUAGCCAUUUCCCGAAAGCUAGGAGACUCUAUCGAGACAUACACACUCCACCCUCAUCCAGAUAGCGUUAGGUGUAUUGCCUCAGGGUUUCUUUUGAAGUAUCCUGGAGUUGCAUUGAACGAAGUGGAUGAACAGGAUUCUAUGGUAGUAAAAAUUACACUUGAAAUUUAUCUUUCGUUGUGGAUUUUUUAAAGAAAGCUGUAGAAGUUCUAAAGCAAAUCAGCAGUUUUCCACGAGGGAUGGAAAACCAAUUUCGAAAGUUUUAAGUCUUGGUCCAGGAGUUAAAGUAGAAGACGCACAUGUAAAAGAAGCAGGAAAAAAUCAAUCGAAGCAAAACUUCGCCUUCUGUAUGUGCGUGAGAGGACACGGUGAGUAUCGAAACAGUUCUUUCAACUCCAGGAAGACUGUUUCAAUUCAUUCUUCAAGUUGGAGAAACGUUUCACAUAAUAGCCGAUAACAGCCCGUUUAUGGAGUUGAAUAGUUGUAGUGUAACGUUGCUUCAUUUGUUUUGCUCCCUCUAUAUUUUCAAUGUUGGGUAUAGCCCUGAAGUAAACCCCUCAUUUCUUUUUAUUGAAUAUUCAGUUCUUGAAGUUGUUGAUGAUGUGUCCUCAAGGUGUCGAUCGUAAAAAAUUUUUCUGAAAUUAAAAUUCCGAAACAAUUUGAAAAAUUCAAUUGCAGUACCAGUGACAGUAAUUAAUCAAAAAAGUGUUUAAAAUGUGUCCUUAAAAUUGACUGGUCUUCUCCAAUUUUUUUGUUUUAAUUAAGAAAUUUUUACUGUCACUGUUAUUGUCUCGUUAUGGGUAAUUAAUACCUCGUUUCUGGUUGUUUAACAAGUUGAUGACAAUAAAAUGUAAUCAACAA